GGAUAAAUGCCCUGUAUUGUAAGUCCCCCAUGUAGUCCCCUCUGGGAAUGGCCCUGGGAGGGGACUCAGGAAACCCCUUGCAUGGGGACUUGUAUAAAUUGUGGAGCUGAAUUAAAAGACCUCAGUUGACUCCCAGCCUAUGUGUCGUCUAGUUCUUGGGAAAGAAGGGUUACUGCAGUGCUGUUUGGAUUAUUGUAUGCUGAUUCCCUGGAUUAUCC
Molecule: non-coding RNA, 218 nt
Organism: Pelobates cultripes (western spadefoot toad)
Lineage: Eukaryota; Metazoa; Chordata; Amphibia; Anura; Pelobatidae
Source: the annotation of a GenBank genome assembly